GUUUUGUGCCACACUUUCCUAUCUGGGGCUUUUUGCUUUUGUUGCAGGACAGAUGGGGUUGCUUUGCUGCACCUGAAGACAGAAAAAGCCACAGAGCCCUUGCCAGGGGAGCAAAAACUGGUUAUUUAUUACCAGAGCUUUAAAGCUUUCCAUAAGAAGAAUAUGUCUCUGCUUGAUGGUUCUGCACUAGAUUGGAUCAGCGUGGUGUGAGAGCAGCUGCCGACACAAGUCCUUCAGGUUCCAGUGGGAGUGUGCAAGGGAGGAGAGUACAUCCAAUGUAUUGUUUGAUCGACUGAAAAGCGCUAUGAAUUUGGUUGCAACAUGGAAUUACUCUGCUGGCAUUUCCCAAGGCCUGCAAAGACACCACAUCCAUGAGUACAGGAU
Long non-coding RNA from Columba livia (rock pigeon), 384 nucleotides. RefSeq lists it as uncharacterized. NCBI's taxonomy places the organism in Eukaryota, Metazoa, Chordata, Aves, Columbiformes, Columbidae. The transcript has 3 exons. The record is from RefSeq and is a predicted model, not a curated record.